This 455-nucleotide ribosomal RNA is filed under the name uncultured bacterium. RNAcentral's name for it is "bacterial SSU rRNA". It matches the Rfam family "Bacterial small subunit ribosomal RNA", at positions 28 to 507 of the family's 1533-position model. The record is from RNAcentral.
GGUGAACGCUGGCGGCGUGCCUAACACAUGCAAGUCGAUCGGAGCAGCAAUGCUUAGAGGCGAACGGGUGAGGAAAACGUAGUAACCAACCCUUUAGACUGGGAUAGCCACUGGAAACGGUGGGUAAUACCGGAUAAGCUCGAGAGAGGAAAGGCAGAGAAGCGCUAAGGACCGAACCUGCGCCCAUCAGAUAGUUGGUGAGGUAAAGGCUUACCAAGUCAAAGACGGGAAACCGACGUGAGAGCGUGUACGGUCACAAGGGCACUGAGAGACGGGCCCUACUCCUACGGGAGGCAGCAGGUGGGGAAUAUUGGACAAUGGACGAAAGUCUGAUCCAGCGACGCCGCGUGGAGGAAGAAGUCCUUCGGGAUGUAAACUCAUGAGGCUAACGAAUAAGACGGAAGGGGAACCUUCCGGGAGAAGGUAAUUAGUGAAAAGCCCCGGCUAACUACGUG